This 442-nucleotide ribosomal RNA is filed under the name uncultured bacterium. RNAcentral's name for it is "bacterial SSU rRNA". It matches the Rfam family "Bacterial small subunit ribosomal RNA", at positions 338 to 795 of the family's 1533-position model. The record is from RNAcentral.
CCUACGGGAUGCAGCAGUGGGGAAUUUUCCGCAAUGGGCGAAAGCCUGUCGGAGCAAUGCCGCGUGGAGGUAGAAGGCCCACGGGUCGUGAACAUCCUUUCCCGGAGAAGAAGCAAUGACGAUAUCUGGAGAAUAAGCAUCGGCUAACUCUGUGCCAGCAGCCGCGGUAAUACAGAGGAUGCAAGCGUUAUCCGGAAUGAUUGGGCGUAAAGCGUCUGUAGCUGGCUUUUUAAGUCCGCCGUCAAAUCCCAGGGCUCAACCCUGGACAGGCGGUGGAAACUACCAAGCUGGAGUACGGUAUGGGCAGAGGGAAUUUCCGGUGGAGCGGUGAAAUGCGUAGAGAUCGGAAAGAACACCAACGGCGAGAGCACUCUGCUGGGCCGACACUGACACUGAGAGACGAAAGCUAGGGGAGCGAAUGGGAUUAGAUACCCGCGUAGUC